AGGCGGUCGACUUAUCGCGUUAGCUUCGCCACUAAGAUCUCAAGGAUCCCAACGGCUAGUCGACAUCGUUUACGGCGUGGACUACCAGGGUAUCUAAUCCUGUUUGCUCCCCACGCUUUCGCACCUCAGUGUCAGUAUCAGUCCAGGUGGUCGCCUUCGCCACUGGUGUUCCUUCCUAUAUCUACGCAUUUCACCGCUACACAGGAAAUUCCACCACCCUCUACCGUACUCUAGCUCAGUAGUUUUGGAUGCAGUUCCCAGGUUGAGCCCGGGGCUUUCACAUCCAACUUGCUGAACCACCUACGCGCGCUUUACGCCCAGUAAUUCCGAUUAACGCUUGCACCCUUCGUAUUACCGCGGCUGCUGGCACGAAGUUAGCCGGUGCUUAUUCUGUUGGUAACGUCAAAACAGCAAGGUAUUAGCUGACUGCCCUUCCUCCCAACUUAAAGUGCUUUACAAUCCGAAGACCUUCUUCACACACGCGGCAUGGCUGGAUCAGGCUUUCGCCCAUUGUCCAAUAUUCCCCACUGCUGCCUCCCGUAGGAGUCUGGACCGUGUCUCAGUUCCAGUGUGACUGAUCAUCCUCUCAGACCAGUUACGGAUCGUCGCCUUGGUGAGCCAUUACCCCACCAACUAGCUAAUCCGACCUAGGCUCAUCUGAUAGCGCAAGGCCCGAAGGUCCCCUGCUUUCUCCCGUAGGACGUAUGCGGUAUUAGCAUCCGUUUCCGAACGUUAUCCCCCACUACCAGGCAGAUUCCUAGGCAUUACUCACCCGUCCGCCGCUCGCCGGCAUCCCGAAGGACCCGCUGCCGCUC
RNAcentral lists this ribosomal RNA (815 nucleotides) under uncultured Pseudomonas sp. RNAcentral describes it as "partial 16S ribosomal RNA". Lineage: Bacteria; Pseudomonadati; Pseudomonadota; Gammaproteobacteria; Pseudomonadales; Pseudomonadaceae. The record is from RNAcentral.